CCUACGGGAGGCAGCAGUGGGGAAUAUUGGGCAAUGGGCGCAAGCCUGACCCAGCAACGCCGCGUGAAGGAAGAAGGCUUUCGGGUUGUAAACUUCUUUUAAGAGGGAAGAGCAGAAGACUGUACCUCUUGAAUAAGCCACGGCUAACUACGUGCCAGACGGCGCGGUAAUACGUAGGUGGCAAGCGUUCUCCGGAUUUACUGGGUGUAAAGGGCGUGCAGACGGGUAGAAAAGUCAGAUGUGAAAGCCCGCGGCUCAACCGCGGAACUGCAUUUGAAACUGUUUUUCUUGAGUACCGGAGAGGUCAUCGGAAUUCCUGGUGUAGCGGUGAAAUGCGUAGAUAUCAGGAAGAACACCAGUGGCGAAGGCGGAUGACUGGACGGCAACUGACGGUGAGGCGCGAAAGCGUGGGGAGCAAACAGGAUUAGAUACCCGAGUAGUC
RNAcentral lists this ribosomal RNA (442 nucleotides) under uncultured bacterium. RNAcentral's name for it is "partial 16S ribosomal RNA". It matches the Rfam family "Bacterial small subunit ribosomal RNA", at positions 338 to 795 of the family's 1533-position model. The record is from RNAcentral.